UCUGCUGUGCGAGACGAAAAACCAAGGGGCAAGGAACUCGACCGGAAGUUGAAGUCGGGUGGGGGCUGCCAUCUUUUAGCAGAACUUCACUUGCGUUAGCAUUCCCAUUGACUCCCAUUCAUUUUGGCGUCACUUUGACAGCGAAUAACUUUACAUCUGAGGCGUUUAAAGACUCUGUUUGUCCAUUAUUUAUUUCUAAAGAUACACGACAAUGUAUAAAGGGCUCCAUUACCUUCUAUGUUACAUUAUGGCCCCGUAUAAACAGUUUUUGUAAAAAAUAGGCUAACGAUUGUGUCAUAACCACUCGGCGCUCUGUCGCAUUACCGUACAGACAGGAGGAGAAGCUCGCAGGCAAUUAACUUAAUAUGGCGUACUGGCGUUAUAUUUUAAAACACUAUACAAAAUAAUUAAUCAGAAUACUUACUCUUGCUCACUCACGACAAAGAACUCCCCGCUCAAGCUCGCCGUCUCUGCAAGAUUAACGAUGGCAGUUUGCACGCACAGCUACUAGAAGAUUUACAUCUGCAAGACAGGUUGCUGACGUCGUCAAGCUUCGUUUGAGUCUGCGCGUCAGAAACGGAAGUGCUAAAAAACGCUAAAACUGGGCUUCAUUUGUCUCAAUUGAGUUCCAAUGGGGUCGCUGUGUCCAUUUCUUUUACUGUCUAUGCGAAAAACGGACGCAGAGUUUGCCUGGUCUCAUUUAUUUCUCCUGUUUUCAGGUCAGCUGAAAUCUCAUCAUCUAAUUCCCUUUGAGAGAGAAAAAACAACAACAGAUUAAAUCGUUAUAGAAGCAACUUUCCAGUUCUGCAAGCAACUGAGUAAAGCGCUCAAACAAGAACAAACACUCACUCUGUCUGGGACUGCUUUUCAGUGAAGACUCGUAGGACAAAAUCAGCCUCUUUGCUGGGUUCAAAGGUGGAGGGGACGAUGAUGUAUUCACCGGGAGGCAGACGGAGACGAGUGCUGACCUCCCGCAGGUUGAUGAAGGUCUCAGAGCGGGCGCACGAUGAGUGUGUCAGGAAGAAGUCCUUUUUAAGGUGCACAUUCUGACAGCCUGCAUACUGCACAAAGAUGGAAAUGACAAAUCUGUGCAGUACACAAAAUUAUUCCACUGUGAAUAAUCAAGACGAAAUUCAUGGGUUCAUACCUCUUCAGGAAUCUGCAAGGAGGAGGAAAAGAAGGAAAACAAUUAGGCAUUUUUUUCCCUUUGGAACACAAAGUUAUCUGUUAACUUUUUUGCUUCCCACCUCGUAGAUAGCAAAGCCGAUGGUGUGCAUGUCCUGUCCGUGGCGCCGGUACCGUCUGCGGUCUUUCUGCAGUAAAGCCACCAGAAAGCUGCAGGCCACUUCUUCAUCCUCUGGGUCAUCAUCCUCCUCCAGCAGUGUGAUCUUGUACUGUGGAUUGAUCCAGAACGUGUCUGCCAAACAGCAGAGGAACACAAACCAGUUAUGGGUUCAAAUUCCAGAUGAAGCUGAUGGCGGAGUUUGAUUCAUGCAUUAUUAAUUGUUCAUCUUGUUCGUGAUAUGAUGCUUAAUGCACUUUUAUUCAAAUGUUUGUGGUCAGUAGGAUUUCUUUUUAAAAUAAAUUAAUACCUUUUAUUCAGCAAGCACACCAAAAGCUACAGUUAAGGUUUUUAUAAUGUUAAAAAAUAAUGAUAUUUCAAAUACACUCUGUUCUUUUGAAACUUCUAUUCACCAAGCAAUCUGUUUCCAACAUUUAUAAUGAAAACAAUUUGGCUCUUGAGCACCUAAUCAGAAUAUUAUGACUCCUGAAGGAUCAUGUGAUGCUGAGGACUGGAGUAAUGAUGCUGAAAAUUCAGCUUUACAUCACAGGAAUAAACUACAUUUUAGAAUACAUUUUAAAAAAGCAAAACAGCUAUUUUAAAUUUUAAUAUUUCACAAUAUUAUGCUGUGGUUGUUUUUUUUUUUACUGCAUUAAUGAUCAAAAAUAAUUGCAGCCUGUGUGAGGAUAAGAGACUUUUCCAAAGCAUUACAAAAUCUUACCGACCCCAAACUUUUGAAUGGUAGUGUAGAUCCAAAUAUUGUAAUUUUACAAGCAAAACAAUUCAUUGGCAAUCGCAAUUUUGAUCAUAUUGUUCUAAACCUAUGGCUAGUUGUAAAUCCCAUCAAUGUUUCCAGCUGUAGAGACGUCCAGUACGACCAAUAAUACAGCCACUAUUUGACCUCAGCUGAUAAAAUCGCUGGAUGUAAACGGGCGUUUCUCACUGGGAUGGUUUCGGCAGCCUCCUGCGGUACUGCCUCUCCGCCAGGCACCGUGAAACUUGAUGGUGUUCCAGUGGCUCAGGUCAUCAUCACUCAGAGCAUCAGGAGUCAGAUUACAAAUCUCCAGCCUGGAGAACUGCCGCAAAAACUCACUGAACGACAUCCUGGGGAAAAGGGAGCUGGUUUUUUUAUGCUGUGAGUGUACACAAUGCGUUUUUGGUCUUCUGAUGCGUCAAUUCACUCAAAAAUAAAAAUAGAUACAGAUGAGUUUCUUCAUCAAUACAGAUUUGGAGAAAUGUGAUAUUACAUCACUUGUCCACAAAUGGAUCCUCUGCAGUGAAUGGGUGUCAUCAGAAUGAGAGUCCACAUGUGAUGUAAUGUUAAAUUGAUACAAAUCUGUUCUGAUGUAGAAACAAACUCAUCUAUGUCUUGGAUUGCCUCAUUUUUGGGAUAACUAUUCCUUUAAUUUGUAUUGCUGAUACAGCUCACCAGAACUCUCCAUCCUCCAUUCGUAAGUGCAAGUCAUCCUUCUCAGAUGGAUCGAUUUCAUCCCAUUCAGGGGAGCUGGAGAGGAAACAUACACAAUCUUCUUACUCAAUGACUUGGGCUGAACUGAAUAACUGUUUCUGUGUCAUUACUUACUUGUCGCUCCAGGCCCCUGUCCAUUCAACCUGACCCCAUGGGUUACGGAUACGGAUAAGCCUCUCUGUACGACCCCUAAAUUCCACCUGUAAAAGAGAGAUCGCACACAUGAAGGCACCUAAAAUUAAACUCCUAAAUAAACUGUCUAUGAGCAACAUAUACUGGGAGCGUUACCUGUUUGAGAGCAGUCACCGAGUAAGCAUGACCUUUGACCAGCUUCUUAAAUGUCACAGAUUCCAUGUCAAAGGCACUGGUGAUCUGGUAUACAAUCAUAAAUAAUAUGAAUCAAUCGAACUUGGGUUCGGACCAGGCAAUCGAGCAAACCGAAGUGUGAAAGCACCCUAAAUCUAGAAUGAUGUAAAAAAAAAAAAAAAACAA
Long non-coding RNA from Carassius gibelio (silver crucian carp), 3242 nucleotides. RefSeq lists it as uncharacterized. The transcript has 2 exons. The record is from RefSeq and is a predicted model, not a curated record. Lineage: Eukaryota; Metazoa; Chordata; Actinopteri; Cypriniformes; Cyprinidae.